This 408-nucleotide unclassified non-coding RNA is filed under the name soil metagenome. RNAcentral describes it as "partial contains 5.8S ribosomal RNA, internal transcribed spacer 2, and large subunit ribosomal RNA". The stretch from base 1 to 120 matches the Rfam family "5.8S ribosomal RNA", at positions 35 to 154 of the family's 154-position model. The record is from RNAcentral.
GAUGAAGAACGCAUCGAAAUGCGAUAAGUAAUGUGAAUUGCAGAAUUCAGUGAAUCAUCGAAUCUUUGAACGCACCUUGCGCUCCUUGGCAUUCCGAGGAGCAUGCCUGUUUGAGUGUCAUUAAAUUCUCAAGACCUGUCUGCUUUUUUGAUAGGUAUUGGAUUUUGGGGGUUGCAGGCUGUUUCAAAUAAAUAGCCUUGCUCUCCUUGAAUGUAUUAGUGGAGAAAAGCCAUUGAACUCCAUUGGUGUGAUAAAACCUAUCAAUGCCAGGAGCAAUAUCACUACUUCUCUCUGCUGUCUAACUGUGACUGUCUGUAUUAAUUAGUAUGGAUGGGGACAACUUGACCAACUUGACCUCAAAUCAGGUAGGACUACCCGCUGAACUUAAGCAUAUCAAUAAGCGGAGGA